Molecule: small nuclear RNA, 172 nt
Filed under: Dipodomys ordii (Ord's kangaroo rat)
Lineage: Eukaryota; Metazoa; Chordata; Mammalia; Rodentia; Heteromyidae
Description: U2 spliceosomal RNA
Rfam family: U2 spliceosomal RNA
About the family: U2 is a small nuclear RNA (snRNA) component of the spliceosome (involved in pre-mRNA splicing). Complementary binding between U2 snRNA (in an area lying towards the 5' end but 3' to hairpin I) and the branchpoint sequence (BPS) of the intron results the bulging out of an unpaired adenosine, on the BPS, which initiates a nucleophilic attack at the intronic 5' splice site, thus starting the first of two transesterification reactions that mediate splicing.
Source: Rfam by way of RNAcentral
AUCACUUCUCAGCCUUUGGCUAAGAUCAAGUGUAGUAUCUGUUCUUACUGAUUUACUAUUUGAUUCGUCCUCUAAGGCUAAUGUGGAUAAUACGGAGCAGGGAGGUGGAAUAAUAACUUCUCUCCAUACAUGGACCUGAUAUUGUAGCACAUGCAGGAAUGAUGCACUGUAU